CCUACGGGGGGCAGCAGUGAGGAAUAUUGGUCAAUGGACGAGAGUCUGAACCAGCCAAGUAGCGUGAAGGAUGACUGCCCUAUGGGUUGUAAACUUCUUUUAUAAAGGAAUAAAACGAGGCACGUGUGCCUUUUUGCAUGUACUUUAUGAAUAAGGAUCGGCUAACUCCGUGCCAGCAGCCGCGGUAAUACGGAGGAUCCGAGCGUUAUCCGGAUUUAUUGGGGUUAAAGGGAGCGUAGAUGGGUUGUUAAGUCAGUUGUGAAAGUUUGCGGCUCAACCGUAAAAUUGCAAUUGAUACUGGCAGUCGUGAGUACAGUUGAGGUAGGCGGAAUUCGUGGUGUAGCGGUGAAAUGCUUAGAUAUCACGAAGAACCCCGAUUGCGAAGGCAGCUUACUAAACUGUGACUGACAUUGAUGCUCGAAAGUGUGGGUAUCAAACAGGAUUAGAUACCCCGGUAGUC
Molecule: ribosomal RNA, 460 nt
Filed under: uncultured bacterium
Lineage: Bacteria
Description: partial 16S ribosomal RNA
Rfam family: Bacterial small subunit ribosomal RNA
Source: RNAcentral